UACGAAGGUCCCAAGCGUUGUUCGGAAUUACUGGGCGUAAAGCGUGCGCAGGCGGUUCGUUAAGUUCGUUGUGAAAGCCCCGGGCUCAACCUGGGAACUGCAAUGGAAACUGGCGGGCUUGAGUGUGGCAGAGGGGGGUGGAAUUCCGCGUGUAGCAGUGAAAUGCGUAGAGAUGCGGAGGAACACCGAUGGCGAAGGCAGCCCCCUGGGCCAACACUGACGCUCAGGCACGAAAGCGUGGGGAGCAAACAGG
This 253-nucleotide ribosomal RNA is filed under the name uncultured bacterium. Its description in RNAcentral is "partial 16S ribosomal RNA". It matches the Rfam family "Bacterial small subunit ribosomal RNA", at positions 524 to 776 of the family's 1533-position model. The record is from RNAcentral.